CCUACGGGAGGCAGCAGUGAGGAAUAUUGGUCAAUGGACGAGAGUCUGAACCAGCCAAGUAGCGUGAAGGAUGACUGCCCUAUGGGUUGUAAACUUCUUUUAUAUGGGAAUAAAAUGUUCCACGUGUGGGAUUUUGUAUGUACCAUAUGAAUAAGGAUCAGCUAACUCCGUGCCAGCAGCCGCGGUAAUACGGAGGAUCUGAGCGUUAUCCGGAUUUAUUGGGUUUAAAGGGAGCGUAGGUGGAUUGUUAAGUCAGUUGUGAAAGUUUGCGGCUCAACCGUAAAAUUGCAGUUGAAACUGGCAGUCUUGAGUACAGUAGAGGUGGGCGGAAUUCGUGGUGUAGCGGUGAAAUGCUUAGAUAUCACGAAGAACUCCGAUUGCGAAGGCAGUUCACUGGACUGCAACUGACACUGAGGCUCGAAAGUGUGGGUAUCAAACAGGAUUAGAUACCCGUGUAGUC
This 460-nucleotide ribosomal RNA is filed under the name uncultured bacterium. RNAcentral's name for it is "partial 16S ribosomal RNA". It matches the Rfam family "Bacterial small subunit ribosomal RNA", at positions 338 to 795 of the family's 1533-position model. The record is from RNAcentral.